RNAcentral lists this small RNA (813 nucleotides) under Pan troglodytes (chimpanzee). RNAcentral describes it as "processed transcript". Lineage: Eukaryota; Metazoa; Chordata; Mammalia; Primates; Hominidae. The record is from RNAcentral.
GGUUUUCCAACUGCUCUCAAGGAGACUUUAGUACAGCUGGGAACACAGAUAUGUCCUUAUUUAAAAGUGUAUUGAAAGUCAACGUGGCAAGUUUCAGAUCAGUCGAAGCUGGAGACUGGAGGUCGUUGGAGUGCUGUUGGAGGAAGUACUGUUGGAGGUUGGAGCAAGGAGAGCAGCUGUUAACAGGAAGGAACUUCUUAGAAGAGCCAGUCUCGAAGAUAUGGUGUAGACAAAGCCUGAAGCUGCACUCUUACUACAUUUGCAAGUUGAUGUCCAGUGUUCGGUGUUCUAUUUGUGGCUACACAAAUUGAGAAAUGUGAAAAACAGCAUAUAUCAUUACAGACUAUAUGGGCAUCCGAAAUGAAAGUUUCAUGAAAUUAGCUGCAGUAGGGACCUGGAUGGGGGACUUUGUCACAGCUUGGAUGGUCACUGAUAUGAUGCUUCAGGACAAACCCUAUCCUGACUGGGGAAAAUCAGCAAGAGCUUUCUGGAAGAAAGGAAAUGUUAGGAUCACUUUAUUCUGGACAGUUCUUUUUACUCUGACGUCUGUGGUUGUACUUGUGAUUACAACGGACUGGAUCAGCUGGGACAAGCUGAAUCGGGGAUUUUUGCCCAGUGAUGAAGUUUCCAGAGCAUUCCUUGCUUCUUUUAUCUUGGUCUUUGACCUUCUUAUUGUGAUGCAGGACUGGGAAUUCCCACAUUUCAUGGGAGAUGUUGAUGUAAAUCUCCCUGGUUUGCACACCCCUCACAUGCAGUUCAAGAUUCCUUUCUUCCAGAAAAUCUUCAAGGAGGAAUAUCGUAUUCACAUAACAG